GACAACAUUGACGGACGACGUGUUCGACUUCACCGUGCACCUGUACAGUGCUCUCCAAGGCACAAGGAGGCACCGCAGGGGGAAGGCUCGGAGCAAACCAUGCCUCUGUUGCUACGGAUCGUGCGGAUCCAACUUGGCAUCCGGCAGC
RNAcentral lists this long non-coding RNA (148 nucleotides) under Rhipicephalus microplus (southern cattle tick). RNAcentral describes it as "uncharacterized LOC119181301". The record is from RNAcentral. Lineage: Eukaryota; Metazoa; Arthropoda; Arachnida; Ixodida; Ixodidae.